Molecule: ribosomal RNA, 479 nt
Filed under: uncultured bacterium
Lineage: Bacteria
Description: bacterial SSU rRNA
Rfam family: Bacterial small subunit ribosomal RNA
Source: RNAcentral
GAUGAACGCUGGCGGCGUGCCUAACACAUGCAAGUCGAGCGUGAACCCUGCGAAUGAACUUCGGUUCGAUUUUGCAGGGGGAAAGCGGCGGACGGGUGAGUAACGCGUAGGUAACCCUGCCCCAUACUGAGGGAUAGCCUCGGGAAACCGGGAUUAAUACCUCAUAACACCGUAUAUUCGCAUGGAUGUGCGGUCAAAGAUUUAUCGGUAUGGGAUGGGCCUGCGUCUGAUUAGCUGGUUGGUGGGGUAACGGCCUACCAAGGCGACGAUCAGUAGCCGACCUGAGAGGGUGAUCGGCCACAUUGGAACUGAGACACGGUCCAAACUCCUACGGGAGGCAGCAGUGGGGAAUAUUGCACAAUGGGCGAAAGCCUGAUGCAGCAACGCCGCGUGAGCGAAGAAGGCCUUUGGGUCGUAAAGCUCUGUCGGGUAGGAAGAUAAUGACGGUACUACCCGAGGAAGCCCCGGCUAACUACGUG